This is a non-coding RNA of Caerostris extrusa, 72 nucleotides long. The record is from the annotation of a GenBank genome assembly. NCBI's taxonomy places the organism in Eukaryota, Metazoa, Arthropoda, Arachnida, Araneae, Araneidae.
GCCCGGAUAGCUCAGUUGGUAGAGCGUUAGGCAGAACCUAACGGUCCAGGGUUCGCAGUCCCUGUUCGGGCG